GACGAACGCUGGCGGCGUGCUUAACACAUGCAAGUCGAACGGGAAGGCCCUGCUCUAGUGGCGUGCUCGAGUGGCAAACGGGUGAGUAACACGUGAGUAGCCUGCCCUCGACUUUAAACUCACUCCAGGAACCUGGGGGUAAUACCGGAUAAGAGCUACUGCUGCCUGGUGGGGGUUGGAAAGUUUCGGCGGAUGGGGAUGGACUCGCGGCUUCUCAGCCUGUUGGUGGGGUAGUGGCUUACUAAGGCUUUGACGGGUACCCGCCCUGCAAGGGUGACCGGCCACCUUGGUACUAAGAUACGGCCCAGCCCCCUACGGGAGGCAGCAGUGGGGAAUAUUGCCCCACGGUCGGAGGUAUGAUGCAGGAGCGCCGCCUGCUGGAUGUCGGUCGUCCCCUUGUAGACUGCUUUCGCAUGUGACGAAGCCUCAGUGACGGUAAUGGGUAAAUAAGCACCGGCUAACUCCGUG
This 468-nucleotide ribosomal RNA is filed under the name uncultured bacterium. RNAcentral describes it as "partial 16S ribosomal RNA". It matches the Rfam family "Bacterial small subunit ribosomal RNA", at positions 28 to 507 of the family's 1533-position model. The record is from RNAcentral.